Saccostrea echinata is the source of this 615-nucleotide long non-coding RNA. RefSeq lists it as uncharacterized. The transcript has 7 exons. The record is from RefSeq and is a predicted model, not a curated record. NCBI's taxonomy places the organism in Eukaryota, Metazoa, Mollusca, Bivalvia, Ostreida, Ostreidae.
CAAUCCAAACCACUAAGUGUAUCUGGUCACCAGCAAUUGGACCUGCCUGAGCUUCUUGUAUCUGAUCACCAGCAAUUGAACUUGCCUAUCUGCCAUUUUCAUCUAGUUGGAAAUGAUGUAGUUUACUCAAUGGUGUGUAGACUGUCAACAUGUGAAACCUACAUAGUCUCCUCUGUUAAAGAUCACUAAUGGUGGAUAAACAAUGAGUGAUGCAGACUGUUCACCAAAAGGGAGUUUUGACACCUGUAUGCCUAUAUUUCUACCAAUCACCCUGUUAUCUUUUUUGUCAUGUUCUUUGGACAGGUAAAAUAACAAGGUAAAACAAGUAGAAAGAAAAGGCUGGAGCAAAGAUGAGAAAAGCACCAUAUGCCAAGGGUUUGUAAGGAGAGUAGCAGAUCAGAAACCUUUGACUAGAGAAGAUGUGAAUGGAGACAGAUUCUGAUGAUGCCAUCAUUGGGAGGCAGGAUGACUAUAAGACACUAAUUCCUCAUCCAUAAAGAUUUCUACAAGUGGUUCAUUUGAAAUGAAUACAGAUUUCAUUACAAGACGUGUGCAUGGUGCAACAUCCUGGAUGGUGUGUAGUAUGUUUGUUAACAUGUGAAGCCUACGUGUAUU